ACAGGUGACACUGGUGGCACUGCGGGGCAGGGCAGUCCUGGGGGCCGGGGGGGCCCCCGUGUCCGGCUGUGUCCCUCUGUCCGGCUGUGUCCCUCUGUCCAGCUCUGUCCUGGUGUCCAGCUCUGUCCCCGUGUCCGGCUGUGUCCUGGUGUCCAGCUGUGUUCCUCCAUCCAGCUCUGUCCCUCCAUCCAGCUGUGUCCCUCUGUCCAGCUGUGUCCUGGUGUCCAGCUGUGUCCCUCUGUCCAGCUGUGUCCCUCUGUCCAGGUGUGUCCCUCUGUCCAGCUGUGUCCCCCUGUCCAGCUGUGUCCUGGUGCCUCUGUUGGUCCCAUUAUCCCGCUCCAUCCCAUUGUCCAGGGCUGGGGGGUCUGUCCCCGUUCCCAGCCCUGUCCUGGUGUCCUGCUGUCCCUCAUUAUCCAUGUCCAUCCCAUUAUCCCUGUGUUCCAGGGCCGGCAGGUCCAUCCCAGUUCCCAGCCGUGUCCGGGUGUCCUUGUCCAUCCUGUUAUCCCUCUCCAUCCCGUUAUCCCUGUGUUCCAGGGCCGGCAGGUCCGUCCCAGUUCCCAGCCGUGUCCGGGUGUCCCGGUUGGUCCCAGUACCCCCCGUUAUCCCAUUAUCCCUGUGUUCCAGGGCCGGCAGCUCUGUCCCGUUAUCCAGCCGUGUCCGGGUGUCCUUGUCCGUCCCGUUAUCCCUCUCCAUCCCAUGAUCCACGUUUUCCAGGGCCGGCAGGUCCGUCCCAGUUCCCAGUCGUGUCCAGGUGUCCCUGUCCAUCCUGUUAUCCCUGUCCAUCCCGCUCUCCAGGUCCAUCCCGUUAUCCAGCCGUGUCCAGGUGUCCUUGUCCAUCCUGGUGUCCCUGUCCAUCCUGGUGUCCCUGUCCAUCCUGUUAUCCACGUGUUCCAGGUCAGUCCCCGUUCCCAGCCGUGUCAGGGUGUCCCUGUCCAUCCUGGUGUCCCUGUCCAUCUGGGUGUCCCUGUCCCCCCCGGUGUCCCUGUCCAUCCUGGUGUCCCUGUCCAUCCUGGUGUCCCUGUCCAUCCUGUUAUCCAUGUGUUCCAGGUCAGUCCCCGUUCCCAGCCGUGUCGGGGUGUCCCUGUCCAUCCCGGUGUCCCUGUCCAUCCUGGUGUCCCUGUCCCCCCCGGUGUCCCCGUCCAUCCUGUCAUCCGUGCCCUGCCGGGCGGGCAGCCAGGCCAGCCGUGCCCGGUGGGUGCUCAGCACCAGCAGCCGCGCCGCCGCCGCCAGC
Molecule: long non-coding RNA, 1231 nt
Filed under: Lepidothrix coronata (blue-crowned manakin)
Lineage: Eukaryota; Metazoa; Chordata; Aves; Passeriformes; Pipridae
Description: lncRNA (ENSLCOG00000003296.1)
Source: RNAcentral